AAUAGAUACCCAGGUAGUCCUAGCCGUAAACGAUGAGCACUGGGUUGAAGGGUCCUCCAUAGCCUUUCAGCCGUAGCGAAAGUGUUAAGUGCUCCGCCUGGGGAGUAUGGUCGCAAGGCUGAAACUCAAAGAAAUUGACGGGGGCUCACACAAGCGGUGGAGGAUGUGGCUUAAUUCGAGGCUACGCGAAGAACCUUAUCCUAGUCUUGACAUGCACGGAUUAACUCCCUGAAAGGGGAGCCACGCCUUCGGGUGGAACGUGCACAGGUGCUGCAUGGCUGUCGUCAGCUCGUGCUGUGAAGUGUCGGGUUAAGUCCCUUAACGAGCGAAACCCUUGUCGCUAGUUGCCAGCGAGUCAUGUCGGGGACUCUAGCGAGACCGCCGGUGUUAAACCGGAGGAAGGUGGGGAUGACGUCAAGUCCUCAUGGCCUUUAUGACUAGGGCUGCACACGUCCUACAAUGGCAUGCACAAAGGGACGCAAAGUCGCGAGACCAAGCAAAUCCCAAAAACAUGCCCAGUUCGGAUUGC
Molecule: ribosomal RNA, 529 nt
Filed under: uncultured bacterium
Lineage: Bacteria
Description: bacterial SSU rRNA
Rfam family: Bacterial small subunit ribosomal RNA
Source: RNAcentral